AUUCUGGAGUAAGCUGGAGUAAGUUGCGUGGCUUCCACGAUGACUGGACUGACGAGGAAUUUCAGGGGAAGCAGGGGAAGCGCUGGCAACUCCGAAGGUUCUGUGUCUACCUGUCGCUACGUCGGAGUCGGCCGACUGUCCGCCAUCUCCGAGAACAUCGUGCGGCUCAACAGGUUCCUGGCCCUUCUUACGCUCCACCUGGGAUCCACGCAAGGACGUCAUCUCUUGCGCAAAGGAUCUACCAGGCGUUCAUGUUGCGAGAAGCAUCAAAACCGUUGCAAAAAAGCGACAACAGACUCCGUCACGUGAUUUAGUGGUUUGGAACCCUGCUGCCGACGACGUCAAAAGCCGGUUGCGACUAAACUACAUGCGGAACAGCAAGACGUUCACCAUCGAAGAAUCGAACCAACUUAUUCCAUGACUCUUUUACUCCGAGAACACAUCAGUACUGGAACCUCCUUCCUGCAUCCAUUGCCACAUUCCCGGACACCGCGAACUUCAACUGGCAGCAGUGCAAACCACACUUGAUUAUUUUUGUAUUGCUCCUAAAACCACUGCUUUAG
Molecule: long non-coding RNA, 563 nt
Organism: Dermacentor albipictus
Lineage: Eukaryota; Metazoa; Arthropoda; Arachnida; Ixodida; Ixodidae
Source: RefSeq, a predicted model, not a curated record